CAGUAGCCACGGGAACACGAAGGGUGCAAGCGUUAAUCGGAAUUACUGGGCGUAACGCGUGCGUAGGCGGUUUGUUAAGUCUGUUGUGAAAUCCCCGGGCUCAACCUGGGAAUGGCAAUGGAUACUGGCAAGCUAGAGUGUGUCAGAGGAUGGUGGAAUUCCCGGUGUAGCGGUGAAAUGCGUAGAUAUGUGGAGGAACACCGAUGGCGAAGGCAGCCCCCCGGGAUAACACUGACGCUCAUGCACGAAAGCGUGGGGAGCAAACAGGAUUAGAGACCCCGGUAGUCCCUGUCUCUUAUAC
RNAcentral lists this ribosomal RNA (301 nucleotides) under uncultured bacterium. RNAcentral describes it as "partial 16S ribosomal RNA". It matches the Rfam family "Bacterial small subunit ribosomal RNA", at positions 509 to 807 of the family's 1533-position model. The record is from RNAcentral.